CAGUCGCCGCGGGAAUACGUAGGUCCCGAGCGUUGUCCGGAUUUAUUGGGCGUAAAGCGAGCGCAGGCGGUUAGAUAAGUCUGAAGUUAAAGGCUGUGGCUUAACCAUAGUACGCUUUGGAAACUGUUUAACUUGAGUGCAAGAGGGGAGAGUGGAAUUCCAUGUGUAGCGGUGAAAUGCGUAGAUAUAUGGAGGAACACCGGUGGCGAAAGCGGCUCUCUGGCUUGUAACUGACGCUGAGGCUCGAAAGCGUGGGGAGCAAACAGGAUUAGAUACCCGUGUAGUCCCUGUCUCUUAUACC
This 301-nucleotide ribosomal RNA is filed under the name uncultured bacterium. RNAcentral's name for it is "partial 16S ribosomal RNA". It matches the Rfam family "Bacterial small subunit ribosomal RNA", at positions 509 to 808 of the family's 1533-position model. The record is from RNAcentral.